This 269-nucleotide small RNA is filed under the name Saimiri boliviensis boliviensis (Bolivian squirrel monkey). Its description in RNAcentral is "Metazoan signal recognition particle RNA (ENSSBOG00000000817.1)". The stretch from base 89 to 222 matches the Rfam family "Metazoan signal recognition particle RNA", at positions 109 to 242 of the family's 299-position model. Lineage: Eukaryota; Metazoa; Chordata; Mammalia; Primates; Cebidae. The record is from RNAcentral.
GUUGCCCAGGCUGGUCUCAAACUCCUGGACUCAAGCAAUCCUCCAGCCUUGGCUUCCCAAAGUGCUGACAUUACAGGCAUGUAAUGUAUCCGAACUAAGUUCGGCAUCAAUAUGGUGACCUCCCGGGAGCGGGGAACCACCACGUUGCCUAAGGAGGGGUGAACCGGCCCAAGUCGGAAAUGGAGCAGGUCAAAACUCCUGUGCUGAUCAGUAGUGGGAUCGCGUCUGUGAAUAGCCACUGCACUCCAGCCUGGGCAAUAUAGUGAGAC